ACCCCUAUGUUCAUUGCAGCACUAUUUACAACAGCCAAGACAUGGAAACAGCCUAAAUGUCCGUCAACAGAGGAAUGGAUUAAGAAAUGUGGUACAUAUAUACAAUGGAAUACUACUCAGCCCUAAAAAGGACAAAAAUAAUGCCAUUCGCAGCAACAUGGAUGCAACUAGAGAUUCUCAUACUAAAUGAAGUCAGUCAGAAACAGAGAGACAAAUACUAUAUGAUAUCAGUUAUAUUUGGAAUCUAAAAUAUGGUACAAAUGAUCCUAUCUACAAACGGAAAGAUCAUGGACAGGGAGAGCAGACUUGUGGUUGCUGGGGUGGGGUGGAGGGGAAGUGGGAUGGACUGGGAGUUUGGGGUUGGUAGAUGCCAACUAUUACACUUGGAAUGGAUAAACAACCAUGGAUUCUUACUGUAUGUAUGACUAGGUCCCUGUGCUGUAUAGCAGAACUUGACACAACACUGUAAAUCUACACUCUAAUAAAAGAAGUCAUCUGCAGAAAAGAAGAGAAACAAGUAUAGAAAGUGGUUGUUUUCUUACUUUUCCUUUUCUAGAAGAGGGCGGCAUCUAUUUGCACUGCUCUCAUCUGGCAGUGGUUAACACUGGUGAAAGAAGUGUGGGUGAGAUUAAGCUGUAAGAUAUUUCCAAUUAAAGUCAGGAAUGACAAAGUGAUGGAUGUGAUAAAACAAGACCAGUGGUUGUGAGAGGACAUUCAUGAGAGAAUGAGUAACCUCUUGGAGGCUGACCUCUUAGGAUCUCCAUAUCCCUAAAGUGUCUUGCUUUGCUUUUAUCUAAUAUGGAGUCAACAUCAAUCCACUUACCUUAAACUUUUUAAAAGCUAUUAGCAUUUUCAGUGUGACCAUCUCCUGAGGAAGAACAUGCAGUAGGUUUUCCAUGCAGGCAAAACUGUUGUCCUAAAGGACACUUUUUGAUCUUUAAGAAAGAGCUCCCAAUCUCAUACUCUGGAAUCAGUCAGAACCAAAAUAAUAUUCCUCCAACCAAAUCCUUCAUGACUUAAUGGACUUUCACAGUAUUCUCUCUAAAAUUUUAAGAUCCUUACUCUUAAGGAAUAAUAAUUUUAGCUUGACUUCAUAACCAUAGGUUUCCCUCCACUUAACCUUUUGUUCCUGUUCAUUAAUCUUAUUUCAAUAGCAUAUCUAUUUUCAGUUCUUGGAAAAUUAACUGGUUAUGACUCAAACAUUUUACUGGGUAGUUCCCAUUCACCAAAUCCAUAGCUAUGAACUGCCUCCUUUUCUCUAUCCCGUGAGGUGUGUGGGAGCCGGGUUACCAGUCCCUGAGAUUUUAGGCUUUUGAAUAAAGAGCUAAUCUCAAAACAUGUGAUUAUAAUCUGAGAAUAAACAGAAAAGGGAGUCUGAAGCUACUGCUAUUCAGCUCGGUGAGCUGAACAAGAUACAGAGGUUUAACUGAGAGAGAAACUAUGGCAACAUGUGUUCAGCUCUUUUCCAGGUUCCUGUGUGAUUCUUCUUCUGCAGAUUCCCUCAAAGCUACAAUCCAUUAUUCUCAGAGAGCUCUUCAUCUUUCCCAGGAGGUUUCCAUUUCCAGUCUAAGAAAUGCCCUGAGUUAUUUCCAGCUGCUCAGGGUUGGCAGCACAAUCGUCUCGUCAUCAACUGUGUCUCCUCUGGACUCUCAUGUCCCAUGUGUGCCUUGGCCACAAUCUUCUCAGACCACUUCUCUGGGAAUUGAUGUUUGCAACCUCAUUCAGAGCCAAGAGGUAGAAAAACAAAUCAGAGCAUCUAGUGCCCAGCAAAGCAAAGGAUUGUGACAACUCCUAUCAGUUGGUUAAUGCUCUCUAAAGAUAUUACUUUUCCUCUCUUACUCAAGGAGUUUACAAAAAUGGCGGUUCUUUUUGGUAUCAAAAGAAUGCGCAGAUGUUUCCAAAACAAAAUUAAAAAAAAAAAACAAAAAACAAAAAUGACUCAUUUAAAACGAUGACACAAAGUUGUUUUAAACUGACUACAGAUAAUAAAUAACACUUUACAAAAUCCUCCUCCCAUCAAUUAUCGGGAAAUUGCAAGAAAUAAAGUACUCUGAGGAAAUGAGUUUUCAGAUGAACUUUAUGCCAGUUUUAAAAAGGUUACUUCAACCAUUUUGUGCUUAAAAUUUUCUCAAAUAUAGUAAACAAUAGUUUUUGAUUUUUUUUUUUUUGGUCUUUUUUUUUUAAGGGCCGAACCCAUGGCAUAUGGAGGUUCCCAGGCUAGGGGCCAAAUUGGAGCUGUAGCCACCGGUCUACGCCAGAGCCACAGCAACUCGGGAUCUGAGCCAUGUCUGCAAUCUACACCACAGCUCACGGCAACGCCGGAUCCUUAACCCACUGAGCGAGGCCAGGGAUCGAACCCUCGUCCUCAUGGACCCUAGUCAGGUUCGUUAACCACUGAGCCACGAAACGGGAACUCCCUUGUCUUGCUAUUUUUUAAAAAAUCUAUUUUUCAUGUAAUUCAGAGCUUGUAAGCUUACAGAUUGUAGGCCCUGUAAGAUUAAAUGAGAUUCUAAAAUGGGGCCAAAGAGUCAUCAUUAUUAAUGAAAAGAAAGUUAAUAAUGAAACAUAAAACACAAAGAAAGGAGAGUUCCUUUCAAGGCUAAGAUGGCUGUGUUUUACAGCCCAGGGCAAUGGACUUGAAUUGUUAAGACCUCUAUGCAGUGUAACCCUGUGGCUUCAGGCAUAUCGCUCAACUCUAAGUCUCAGUUUCCUCAUCAAUAAAAUGUAGAUUAGAGCAUCCACAUCAGAAGGUCACUGUGGAGAAUAAAUUCAAUAACACACAUAUAAAAGUGACUCAAAGAUUCAAGUACUAUGUAAAAACUGAAUACUUUAAAACAUUUUCAUUAAUAAAUUUUGGCAUCCUUCACCUUGGUAGGCACCAAUUUUUCCUUCUGACUUUUUACCUUGACUAUUCCUAUCAUUCAUUCCUUUUUAAUAAUAACAUUUAAACAACAGGAAAAGAUACGAUUAAUUCAGCAAAUAUUUUUGAAUGAGCUCAAUGUCCCAAGCACUGUUGGUUUUCAAGGAAAACAAAUAUGAAUCAGAAAACGUUUCCUCACUUUUCUGAAUCUGGAUGGGUCAACCUCUUACCACGGUUUGUUACCGGCAUAUAAACUCAGCAACUGUAAUAUCUUUGGGGUUUUUUUUGGCUACGCCCAUGGCAUGUGGACAUUCUUGGGCCAGGGAUUGAGCCCAUGCCACAACAAUGAUCCAAGCUGUUGCAAUGACAAGGCCAGAUCCUUAGCCUGCUGCACCACAAGGGAGCUCCUCAGUAACUGUAAUACAUAAAUGAAAAACUGACCAGGAGAAACCCCCAAACCACUUAAAUCAAACUCUGCCUAUUCCACACCUGCUCCCCGACGCUGGGCUGCUGGUCUUGAAUGGGAAAAGCAUGCAACCAUCAUGCCCACUAACCUCAAGUGGACUCUCAGGGUCGCCAGGCAAUCAUGUUACGUUACCCAGUCCACUCAGGCGCAGAGGUCUGUCUUCUCUCUCCUCUGAUCUCCUCAUCGCUUUUCCUUCCUUGAUCUUAGCUAAUACCUCACUUCCCAUUUCCUUGGUAAAUGAGAAGCAAUCAAGGAAAGACUUCAGCAAGCUCCUACUAGCAAAGCUACUGAACUAAUUCCACCUGCGUCCCCACACGCUGGCUUUCCUCCUACUGCUAAGGAGCCGUCUCCCCAGCUUCAGGUGGAUGCCAACCU
RNAcentral lists this long non-coding RNA (3701 nucleotides) under Sus scrofa (pig). RNAcentral describes it as "lncRNA (ENSSSCG00045032477.1)". The record is from RNAcentral. Lineage: Eukaryota; Metazoa; Chordata; Mammalia; Artiodactyla; Suidae.